Molecule: long non-coding RNA, 691 nt
Organism: Lycium ferocissimum
Lineage: Eukaryota; Viridiplantae; Streptophyta; Magnoliopsida; Solanales; Solanaceae
Exons: 2
Source: RefSeq, a predicted model, not a curated record
GUGACCAGGAGGUCACGGGUUCGAGCCCAGGAAACAGCCUCUUGCAGAAAUGCAAGGUAAGGCUGCGUACAAUAGACCCUUGUGGUCUGGCCCUUCCCUGGACCCCGGGCAUAGCAGGAGCUUAGUGCACCGGGCUGCCCUUUAGUAGCUGCAGAUGUUUGAGUAUGCAGAGAUCUUGAACCUCAUUUUGGUAACUGCCACUUUUCCUGAUAGAAAUUAAAAGACUUGUUUUGAGCCCGCUGUUGCCUUCAGAGUAAUUUUCUGUUUGCUGCUUUCCAUGUCUUAUUUUUCUUCUUUCUUUUUUGAGAAAUAUUAAAGUGGGUGCAGGCAUUGCUACGCUGCUUUUCGUUCAUGCAAUUUAUUUCAGUAAAUUUGUAUUUUGACUGUCAAAAUUGACUUAUUUUUCUCCUUUAUGUUUGGACAGAUUUCAAAUAAAGUUGGCUCUACUAAAGAUCCUCCAGAUAUUGCAUAUGGUCGUGAUCUAAGCUGCCAUAGUUUCUCUAGGAAAAGAAAUAAUGGCUCAAUUUCCUUGUUUUUCCAUUGAACGCAUUCUUAUUUUUUGGGGGUAACUUGAACACAUUCUUAUUAUUUUGAUAAUUCCUACUUUUUCUUUUACCUCUAGAAGACAAGAAAGUGGAUGUAUUGAGCUUGAUUGUUCUUGUUUUAAGUGAAUGACGUUGUUUUGACCUUC